This 518-nucleotide long non-coding RNA is filed under the name Physcomitrium patens. RNAcentral's name for it is "long non-coding RNA (PPAT_LNC013023)". Lineage: Eukaryota; Viridiplantae; Streptophyta; Bryopsida; Funariales; Funariaceae. The record is from RNAcentral.
UAGUCUUAGACUAUUUAUAGAGUUUGGACUUACAAUUACAUAUGGUGUCGUAUUACGUGAAGUCUUGCUUGAGAAUGCACCGAGCACCUGGCUAUGGAAGGUAAAAAAAAAUUACAACAAAAAAUCCUAACAAUCCAAUAGGAUUAUAGAGAAUUUACAAUUAAACAUUAAUAAUCAUAAUCAAAUAUUAAGCAAGCUCAAUUAAAUUUUAUUGAAGUUAUAAAAGAAACGCAAGGAAAUCCUAAAGAAAUAUAAAAGAAUAUUAAAGAAAACUUAGUCAAAUCCUAACAAAAAUCUAAUAAAACCUUAAAUUCUAACCAACCCCUAAUCCUAAUCCAACCUUAAUUAAACCCUAAACAAACCCUAAACCCUAAAUCAAAUCCUAAUCAAACCUUAAUCAAAUCCUAAACCUUAAAUCAAUUCCAAACCAAAUACUAAAUCAAACCCUAAAUCCUAACCCAAACCCUAAUCCAAAUUCUAAUCCAAAUCCUAAAUCCUAAAUCAAAUUCUAAACCAAA